This is a long non-coding RNA of Platichthys flesus (European flounder), 1200 nucleotides long. RefSeq lists it as uncharacterized. NCBI's taxonomy places the organism in Eukaryota, Metazoa, Chordata, Actinopteri, Pleuronectiformes, Pleuronectidae. The transcript is spliced from 5 exons. The record is from RefSeq and is a predicted model, not a curated record.
AGCCGCUGUACUCUACUUCUUCUUGGCUUCAGUUCGGUUAAUUGCACCAACAGACCGUCUAAUAAUCUGCAGUUCUUCAGGGAAGGGCUCGCCUGAAGGACACCGCUGUGCCUACCAUUUUCUCACACUCCAAGGAAAAAGAGGACAACCCAGCUGCAGAGAAACUCAUAUUGUUCGGGAUGAGUAAGCAGCUCCUCCUCUUGUGGGAAUCCCUGUCACGUCUUACUGUAAAUGACAAGCCGAUCCGCGGAAACGUCAGGACACAUCUCGAGUGGACGCCUGUGUGAUCGACCUUUCACGAGCUGAGUCUGUGUGCGGCGGCUUGUGUGACGUACAGAGCUACGGUUCGUUCCCUGACCCAGAGGAGACGUAAAAAGUUACGUCAAAUGAUUCAGUCCUUAAUCCUAAAAAGACAGAAAACGCUGACGGUUGAACACAGAGUAAAGAUGGAGGACGUGCAGUCGGAAACAGAUGUGGUGAUAAAUAACAAAGAAAAGAUAAUGAAAUAUCACUUUGUCAUGUAUAGUGAUGGACUGUCUUAAAUGGCACUUUCUAGUCUUACUCUAUAACUUACAUUCCUACAUUCAUACACACAUUCAACGCUACUAUUUUACGGGUGAUCCAUCCAUCUGAAUCUGUAUCUUUGAUUAAAUGUAGCGGUGAAUAGAAAUGUCUAUUAAUAGCUAGUCUUCUGGGAGUGCUCUGUUUCUGUCUUCUUAUUUGAACCCACUAUGUGUCCGGUGCUAAUCAACAUCAUUAAGUCGACACUGUAAAUGUUGUUCUCUCCACAUUGUGAAACAAGGGUCAUCGAUCAUGUUGACGGGGGAAUAGUGAACAUACAAACACACACACGCACAAACACAAACACAUCUUAUCCCGAAACCUUAACACGCAAUCACCCCUGGCCUUAACUAUCACUUCUAAAUGUCUAAACAUUAAACCAUAUCCUAACUCUGGCCUAAACCUAAUCCCAACCCUAAAAGAGAGUGUUAACCUGCAUUCUUUUAAAAGUUAAAGGUCCAUGCACAUACACACACUCUCACACACACACACACACACACACACACACACACAAACACAAACACACCUACUUACUGUUUGUUUUCCUCUGAUUAUUAAGUUUGACAUUGCUUCCAAAAUCUGUGGGAUCUUCACUCUGACCCUUUAGUCCACAUGGUUGAUGAGCUCUGGGCUGAAGAG